RNAcentral lists this long non-coding RNA (217 nucleotides) under Sus scrofa (pig). Its description in RNAcentral is "lncRNA (ENSSSCG00050029770.1)". Lineage: Eukaryota; Metazoa; Chordata; Mammalia; Artiodactyla; Suidae. The record is from RNAcentral.
AUGGGGGUCUUUGAGUGCAAGCUUCUUCUGGGGAGAUGGCCGUGUCUGGCCCACGUCUUCCGGUGCUCACAGGACUGUGAGGAAUUUGCAAAUCCAGGUUUAAGGUUUGGGAAGCGAGGCUUUGUGACCUGCCUGCCUGUCUCAGCGUCUUGUGGUUCUCACAGGUAAGAGCGCUUUUGUUCUUUGGUGCUGGUGCUGGUGGCUCUGCAUAAAGGGG